UCAAUGGUGGCUCUGGCGGGGCUGACUUCGGUCAGGCCGGGUUCCUUGAAGACCGGUAUUUCCACCCCCGUCAGGGCCAUCACCA
This 85-nucleotide non-coding RNA is filed under the name Kluyvera cryocrescens. The record is from RNAcentral. Lineage: Bacteria; Pseudomonadati; Pseudomonadota; Gammaproteobacteria; Enterobacterales; Enterobacteriaceae.